AUGAAAGCAAUUUCACACUUUAUUAGACAAUUCAGGUGCCAGCUGCACCAGCCUGGAGCGAGCGCUGCUGUUCACGGCUCCUCUCCUGCUCCGCAGCCCCGGGCUCCCUCUCCAUGGGGCUCAGCCCCUCCUCGGGCCACGCUGGUCCCAGCUGGCACACGAGGGGCCACUGAGGGUGGCCUGGGGCUUGUGCUGCUCCUUGUGGGCCACCACAGGGUGGGCAGGCGGCAGAACAUUGCAGCACAGGCUGGCUCUGCUGGGAGCCAGCUCAGCCCAGCAGCGUGGGCAACCCAAGCUCUGUGCCCAAAGCCACUGGGGCUGGCUGUGCCCUUCAGCCCAGGGCAGCCACCCUGCUCCUCCUGUGCCCUCUCCUUUCUGCGCCCCGUGCUGAGGGGACGGCUCUGGGAUUGGAGCUGGUGGCAGCUGCUUUUCCUUACACCUCCCUGUUCCCGGGGUGCCUCAGCAGACAGAGCCGAUGGGCACACGGGCACCUGGGCACUCAGCCAUGACCCUGGCACCCCGGGCUCUCACCUGGGGUGUGUUGUGCGUCCCUGCCGUGUCCCCGGCGAGCAGCGGGCACACGGAGCUGCUCCCGGCACGUGGCCGGGCUGGCACCCGCGCCCUGGGGACGCUGUCACACCCCGCGGGUGGACAAUAUCCAAAUGCCUGCACGUCCAGGAUAUGAAUCAGCGCGGACAGGAGCGCAGCAGCCGCUCUGGGACACCCGGAGCUGCCCCGGAGGCGGCUCGGGCAGCCAGGCAUCGCCGCUGCCAAAUUCCGGGCGGGCUGAGGGCGGGUCAGGGGCAGCAGCGGCUCCGCUGCCACCUCCGAUCAGCCCGGCCUGGCAAAGCCCUGGCCUGGCACGCAUUUCCCUGUUUGCACGGCUCCGUUCCCCGGUGCCAAGCAUGGCACGGUGGCACCGGGCCAGGGCCGUGCCUAACCUUGACCUGGCUGCUGGCGAGCAGCCCCAGCUGUCCCCCCGUGCCCCCGGGCACAGGCAUGUUCCAGUGGGCCAGCCAGAGCAUUCCUCCCGGGAGAGCCUGUCCUUGA
RNAcentral lists this long non-coding RNA (1050 nucleotides) under Junco hyemalis (dark-eyed junco). RNAcentral describes it as "lncRNA (ENSJHYG00000006767.1)". Lineage: Eukaryota; Metazoa; Chordata; Aves; Passeriformes; Passerellidae. The record is from RNAcentral.